GAUGAACGCUGACGGCAUGCUUAACACAUGCAAGUCGGACGGGAAGUGGUGUUUCCCGUGGCGGACGGGUGAGUAACGCGCAAGAACCUGCCCUUGGGAUGGGAACAACAGCUGGAAACGGCUGCUAAUACCCCGUAGGCUGAGUGGCAAAAGGAGGAAUCCGCCCGAGGAGGGGCUUGCGUCUGAUUAGCUAGUUGGUGAGGCAAUAGCUUACCAAGGCGAUGAUCAGUAGCUGUUCCGAGAGGAUGAUCAGCCACACUGGGACUGAGACGCGGCCCAGACUACUACGGGAGACAGGAGUGAGGAAUUUUCAGCAAUGCGCGGAGGCCUGACGAGGCAAUGCCGCGGGAAAGUAGAAGGCCCAGGGGUCGUGAACUGCUUUUCCCGGAGAAGAAGUAAUGACGGUAUCUGGGGAAUAAGCAUCGGCUAACUCUGUG
RNAcentral lists this ribosomal RNA (437 nucleotides) under uncultured bacterium. RNAcentral describes it as "partial 16S ribosomal RNA". It matches the Rfam family "Bacterial small subunit ribosomal RNA", at positions 28 to 507 of the family's 1533-position model. The record is from RNAcentral.